Engraulis encrasicolus (European anchovy) is the source of this 1389-nucleotide long non-coding RNA. RefSeq lists it as uncharacterized. The record is from RefSeq and is a predicted model, not a curated record. NCBI's taxonomy places the organism in Eukaryota, Metazoa, Chordata, Actinopteri, Clupeiformes, Engraulidae. The transcript has 2 exons.
UUUGCACUGAUGUAGUCAGAGAACGGCAGGAAGUACAGGAGAAAGGUAUAACCCAAUAACUUAACUCAAGGGGAAAUGUAAUAUGAGCUCAUUUCCAAACAUGGGACAGUAUCACUUUAACAUCCGAGUUGGCAGCUGAUAUAAAGACUCAUCAGACCAGGCCUACAUUUUUUACAAUACAAGACUAGAGAAAGUAUUGCCUGGACUGUUUCUGCUGCCAACUCGGAUGGCUGCCUUGUUCCACACACACACAGGUGCAUAUAUUUUAUUAUUAUUAUUAUUAUUUCAUUCCAGAAUUCCUGCUGCCCGUUCUUCAUUUCCAUUUUCAUGAAUAUCACUUUCCAAUUUCUAGGUAUUAUGACAGCACACAUUGCAAUUUUCAUCAAUGAAAAAAUGAAAAGGGGGAUUUUCUCCAUGAUCCUCAAUUUUUAAUUUAGAAACAGUCAUUUUUAGCUGCAAAACUUACUAUGUUCAUGUAACCCAGUUGACAAAUGCAUAUUAAAAACGUAUUAGUUGAUUAAAUAGCAUAAAUUGUAAAAUGGGAUAAUAAAUAGUGAUAAUACUGAUAAGGCAAUUCAUGAAUGAAGGUUUGGUAUCGUUAAAAACACGAUUAACAUAGCAGGACUUUUACUGUGACAGUUACGUUAUGGGACUUUUAUUUUGACAUGCGUUUCCACGCAUUCAGCUUUCCGUGGAGCCGUUCCAGUCAGUUGAGCUGAGAAGAGCUCGAAAGCUGAAGGAAAGACUUCGUUUCUUCGGCUCCACCUUGGAGCUAGAUAUUGAUAGAAAAUUAAUUCUAAGUUAAAGAUACCUACUUCUAAGUUUCAUUUUGGACCACCGAGCGACCUGCUCUGUAAAUCUUUUGUGUUUUGAAGAGCAAGAAGCUGCGCUUCGUCGUGUAUUGUUUCUGUUGAAUCGUCUCGGUGAAGUUUUUUGGACCUGGAUUCCGCUGUGGAUUGAUGACUACGUUUGAUGGCGAGCCACCCACCCCAUUGAGUCGGAUCCUGUCCUGUGUCAUUGUACGUGGCGCAUAAGCUUAUGUGGUAGGGUUGUGACCUGCCUGUGUCACAACAACACUGACUGACUGACUUGAGUUGUUACUUUAACGGUUUACAAACUGAACUAAGGCCUUGAACUGAACGGAACUACUAUAAAGGAACUACUUUUUCUUUUUUUUUUCUUGAACAACUGAAAGGAACUCUUUUCUCUUUGAGGAUUUAAAGGACUGAUUUAAAGGACUGUUCCCAACUUUUGGAAAAUAGACAAUUACUCACUUUUGAAGGACAAUUCAUUUUAUUUUAUUUUAAAGGGUCAAUUCUUUUCUUUUAUUUUGGGAAUAUGUACAUAUUUUCUACCUUGCAAUUCAUAACUAAAGAAAGAAAAAAAGUA